UAAAGGCAGUGCAAAACAUAUCAACAACAACACUAGCAAUUGGUGCAGGGUUGGGGGCGCCAUGACUAGGUUAACAAUAGUAUCUUUCACAAGGGUUUUGUGAUCAUUGAUGUAAGAAGUAAAAGCACUUGCAGGGCUUACAGCUAAAGCUUCUGGAGGAGGUGCAGGUAUGGUCUCAGGAAUUUCGAUGAACCUGAUUUCUGUAUAAAUUGAAGCAAGCGAUUUGAUUUUCUUGCUUAUGCCACCGUCAAAUGGAUUGUUGAUGGCAAGCAUGGUUAUCAAGAAACUGUCGUUCCUCUCAAGAACCGUCUUUGCUAACUGAACAGCUGGUACAAGGUGGCCAAAUCCAGGUGCAGGGACAAAGACUAGCUGUGUUUUCUUCAUUUUGGAGGUUUUGAAUGUUCAAUAUGGUGAUCCUUGUUUGCCUUAUAAUGGGCUCAAGGUCAACGCCACAAUGCCAGCUGUUAUGAUUAUUUUUUUUCUAAAUUAAUCAUCAAAUUGGAUGACAAUUAUUACAAA
This is a long non-coding RNA of Populus trichocarpa (black cottonwood), 519 nucleotides long. RefSeq lists it as uncharacterized. The transcript is spliced from 2 exons. The record is from RefSeq and is a predicted model, not a curated record. NCBI's taxonomy places the organism in Eukaryota, Viridiplantae, Streptophyta, Magnoliopsida, Malpighiales, Salicaceae.